CUCCUAUGAAUUUUCUUAAAUAUCAUCGUGUCUAAGGUUAAAACAACAAAUUGCCUUCGACUUACAUUCCCCGGAAGCAAUUCCGCAAGCCAGAAUCAGCUGAGCCGCCCUUUUCUUCUCUGCCACGGACCGAAGCAAAUCAUCCAACCACUUCUUCACCACGGCCCCAAAUACAUGGCACCAGCGCGCGGAUGCUCCUCAGAACGAACCAAAUCCGGCGAGCUUACAAGGUUGCAUGGUAAGCUCCGGGGCAAUCCACGACGCUGGCAUCGGCCGCUCGAUCGCGGGAAAAGAUGGGCACCCCGGCCUCCAAAAUUGGUGGAGAAGGUACGGCGGUGGUGAUAGAGCUACUCGACGGCGUUGGACGGCCGGGGGUAACAACUGAUGGUUGGGAGAUGCGGUUGUAGCGGCGGUUGCCAAGCGGGCGCGAGCUGAAAGUUACUUCGCAAUGAGGAAGUCCGGGACUAGGGUGUCCUCGGAUCGUCCGCCUAUUCUCAUGAGACGGACUCCCGGGUCUGUUCGACUGUGAGUAGAAGUAUCGGAUUCAAGAUGAACUCUUUCAAAGACUUGGCGUACAAUCCAAGGCGAUGUAGUAAUCGGCAAAUCCUUUCUCUAUUGUAACCGACCUUGUGUAACCCUAGCACCCCUGGCAUCUAUAUAAGCUAGGGGCCCUAGUUCGUAGGGGACAUUAAGUUCAUGGCGAUUAGGGUUUAGACCACAACAUCCAAUCUUGAAGUAGAUCAACUAUGUACUCUGUACCACUCCAUCAAUAACAACA
This 778-nucleotide long non-coding RNA is filed under the name Hordeum vulgare. RNAcentral's name for it is "long non-coding RNA (HVUL_LNC013310)". The record is from RNAcentral. Lineage: Eukaryota; Viridiplantae; Streptophyta; Magnoliopsida; Poales; Poaceae.